This is a long non-coding RNA of Larimichthys crocea (large yellow croaker), 227 nucleotides long. RefSeq lists it as uncharacterized. Lineage: Eukaryota; Metazoa; Chordata; Actinopteri; Sciaenidae. The record is from RefSeq and is a predicted model, not a curated record. The transcript is spliced from 3 exons.
GUUGGGAAUAUGAAGGUCCAGCUCUCUCAGAUGAGAGUCGCUCUUCAGAGCUGAGGCCACACACUCUAAAUAAGCUUCUGGGAUCGAAUCGACAGAAAUCCUGUGAUGACAGAGAAGAUAAAACUUUAAGUUCAGCUCAUCCAGAACCUCCUCUGACAUCUCCAGCUUGUCGGCCAGAACUGAGCAGUGGAUCUCAGAGAGGUUGUUGAUGGCUCUCUGGAUGAUUU